Molecule: ribosomal RNA, 465 nt
Filed under: uncultured bacterium
Lineage: Bacteria
Description: partial 16S ribosomal RNA
Rfam family: Bacterial small subunit ribosomal RNA
Source: RNAcentral
GACGAACGCUGGCGGCGUGCUUAACACAUGCAAGUCGUACGGUAAGGCCCUUUCGGGGGUACACGAGUGGCGAACGGGUGAGUAACACGUGAGUAACCUGCCCACAACUUUGGGAUAACGCUAGGAAACUGGUGCUAAUACUGGAUAUGUGCUCCUGCUGCAUGGUGGGGGUUGGAAAGCUCCGGCGGUUGUGGAUGGACUCGCGGCCUAUCAGCUUGUUGGUGGGGUAGUGGCCUACCAAGGCGGCGACGGGUAGCCGGCCUGAGAGGGUGACCGGCCACAGUGGGACUGGGAUACGGCCCAGACUCCUACGGGAGGCAGCAGGGGGGAAUAUUGCACAAUGGGCGCAAGCCUGAUGCAGCAACGCCGCGUGCGGGAUGACGGCCUUCGGGUUGUAAACCGCUUUCAGCAGGGACGAAGCUUUUUGUGACGGUACCUGCAGAAGAAGCACCGGCUAACUACGUG